UAAUACGGAGGAUCCAAGCGUUAUCCGGAUUUAUUGGGUUUAAAGGGUGCGUAGGCGGAAUAGUAAGUCAGUGGUGAAAACCUGCAGCUUAACUGCAGAACUGCCAUUGAUACUGCUAAUCUUGAGUACAUUUGAUGUGGGCGGAAUGUGUCAUGUAGCGGUGAAAUGCAUAGAUAUGACACAGAACACCGAUUGCGAAGGCAGCUCACAAAACUGUAACUGACGCUGAGGCACGAAAGCGUGGGGAUCGAACAGGAUUAGAUACCCUGGUAGUCCACGCCGUAAACGAUGAUCACUCGAUGUUGGCGAUACACUGUCAGCGUCCAAGCGAAAGUGUUAAGUGAUCCACCUGGGGAGUACGAUCGCAAGAUUG
RNAcentral lists this ribosomal RNA (373 nucleotides) under uncultured bacterium. RNAcentral's name for it is "bacterial SSU rRNA". It matches the Rfam family "Bacterial small subunit ribosomal RNA", at positions 521 to 896 of the family's 1533-position model. The record is from RNAcentral.